CGAGCCCGGAGAUAGCUGGUUCUCCCCGAAAUAGCUUUAGGGCUAGCCUCAAGGUGAGAGAUACGGAGGUAGAGCACUGAAUGUCCUAGGGGGGAUUGCACCUACCGAAGACUAUCAAACUCCGAAUGCCGUCAUCUUAUACUUGGGAGUCAGACUGUGGGUGAUAAGAUUCAUAGUCGAAAGGGCAACAGCCCAGAUCGUCAGCUAAGGUCCCUAAAUGUAAGUUAAGUGGUAAAGGAUGUGGGAUUGCACAGACAACCAGGAUGUUGGCUUAGAAGCA
This 280-nucleotide ribosomal RNA is filed under the name Clostridioides difficile. RNAcentral's name for it is "partial 23S ribosomal RNA". It matches the Rfam family "Bacterial large subunit ribosomal RNA", at positions 834 to 1114 of the family's 2925-position model. The record is from RNAcentral. Lineage: Bacteria; Bacillati; Bacillota; Clostridia; Peptostreptococcales; Peptostreptococcaceae.